UACAGAGGUGCCAAGCGUUGUUCGGAUUUAUUGGGCGUAAAGGGUGCGUAGGCGGUGAUGCAAGUCGGGUGUGAAAUACCGGAGCCUAACUCCGGAACGGCAUUCGAAACUGCAUCGCUCGAGGUCUGGAGAGGUGAUUGGAAUUCUCGGUGUAGCAGUGAAAUGCGUAGAUAUCUGGAGGAACACCGGUGGCGAAGGCGGCAUCCUGGACCAAUUCUGACGCUGAGGAGCGAAAGCCAGGGGAGCAAACGGG
This 253-nucleotide ribosomal RNA is filed under the name uncultured bacterium. RNAcentral's name for it is "partial 16S ribosomal RNA". It matches the Rfam family "Bacterial small subunit ribosomal RNA", at positions 524 to 776 of the family's 1533-position model. The record is from RNAcentral.